RNAcentral lists this ribosomal RNA (497 nucleotides) under uncultured bacterium. RNAcentral's name for it is "partial 16S ribosomal RNA". It matches the Rfam family "Bacterial small subunit ribosomal RNA", at positions 28 to 507 of the family's 1533-position model. The record is from RNAcentral.
GAUGAACGCUGGCGGCGUGCCUAAUACAUGCAAGUCGAGCGAACGGACGAGAAGCUUGCUUCUCUGAUGUUAGCGGCGGACGGGUGAGUAACACGUGGAUAACCUACCUAUAAGACUGGGAUAACUUCGGGAAACCGGAGCUAAUACCGGAUGAUAUUUUGAACCGCAUGGUUCAAAAGUGAAAGACGGUCUUGCUGUCACUUAUAGAUGGAUCCGCGCUGCAUUAGCUAGUUGGUAAGGUAACGGCUUACCAAGGCAACGAUGCAUAGCCGACCUGAGAGGGUGAUCGGCCACACGGGAACUGAGACACGGUCCAGACUCCUACGGGAGGCAGCAGUAGGGAAUCUUCGGCAAUGGGCGAAAGCCUGACGGAGCAACGCCGCGUGAGUGAUGAAGGUCUUCGAAUCGUAAAACUCUGUUAUUAGGGAAGAACAUAUGUGUAAGUAACAGUGCACAUCGUGACGGUACCUAAUCAGAAAGCCACGGCUAACUACGUG